CUAAUUGAUGAGGAUGAACUGAAGGAGUAUAUCCUUGGUGGUCUUGAUGGAGAAUAUAACUCUGUGGUUGCCUCUAUUAACACUGUUCCUACCUCAACU
Triticum aestivum (bread wheat) is the source of this 99-nucleotide non-coding RNA. NCBI's taxonomy places the organism in Eukaryota, Viridiplantae, Streptophyta, Magnoliopsida, Poales, Poaceae. The record is from Rfam.